RNAcentral lists this ribosomal RNA (274 nucleotides) under uncultured bacterium. Its description in RNAcentral is "partial 16S ribosomal RNA". It matches the Rfam family "Archaeal small subunit ribosomal RNA", at positions 473 to 747 of the family's 1478-position model. The record is from RNAcentral.
AAACCAGCACCUCAAGUGGUCAGGAUGAUUAUUGGGCCUAAAGCAUCCGUAGCCGGCUCUGUAAGUUUUCGGUUAAAUCUGUACGCUCAACGUACAGGCUGCCGGAAAUACUGCAGAGCUAGGGAGUGGGAGAGGUAGACGGUACUCGGGAGGAAGGGGUAAAAUCCUUUGAUCUCUCGAUGACCACCUGUGGCGAAGGCGGUCUACCAGAACACGUCCGACGGUGAGGGAUGAAAGCUGGGGGAGCAAACCGGAUUAGAAACCCGGGUAGUCC